RNAcentral lists this ribosomal RNA (489 nucleotides) under uncultured bacterium. Its description in RNAcentral is "partial 16S ribosomal RNA". It matches the Rfam family "Bacterial small subunit ribosomal RNA", at positions 28 to 507 of the family's 1533-position model. The record is from RNAcentral.
GAUGAACGCUAGCUACAGGCUUAACACAUGCAAGUCGCGGGGCAGCAUGGGGUUGCUUGCAAUCCCCGAUGGCGACCGGCGCACGGGUGAGUAACGCGUAUCCAACCUGCCCUUCACCACGGGAUAACCCGGCGAAAGUCGGACUAAUACCGUAUGUUGUCCAUUGACGGCAUCCGAUUUGGACGAAAGGUUUGGCGGUGAAGGAUGGGGAUGCGUCCGAUUAGCUGGACGGCGGGGUGACGGCCCACCGUGGCGACGAUCGGUAGGGGUUCUGAGAGGGAGGUCCCCCACACUGGAACUGAGACACGGUCCAGACUCCUACGGGAGGCAGCAGUGAGGAAUAUUGGUCAAUGGGCGUAAGCCUGAACCAGCCAAGUAGCGUGCAGGAUGACGGCCCUAUGGGUUGUAAACUGCUUUUAUGCGGGGAUAAAGUGGCCCACGUGUGGGUUUUUGCAGGUACCGCAUGAAUAAGGACCGGCUAAUUCCGUG